Molecule: ribosomal RNA, 254 nt
Filed under: uncultured bacterium
Lineage: Bacteria
Description: partial 16S ribosomal RNA
Rfam family: Bacterial small subunit ribosomal RNA
Source: RNAcentral
UACGUAGGUGGCAAGCGUUGUCCGGAUUUAUUGGGUUUAAAGGGUGCGUAGGCGGGUUGGUAAGUCCGUGGUGAAAUCUCCAAGCUUAACUUGGAAACUGCCCGUGGAUACUAUCAAUCUUGAAUAUCGUGGAGGUAAGCGGAAUAUGUCAUGUAGCGGUGAAAUGCUUAGAUAUGACAUAGAACACCAAUUGCGUAGGCAGCUUACUACACGAUCAUUGACGCUGAGGCACGAAAGCGUGGGGAGCAAACAGG